Molecule: long non-coding RNA, 803 nt
Filed under: Marmota monax (woodchuck)
Lineage: Eukaryota; Metazoa; Chordata; Mammalia; Rodentia; Sciuridae
Source: RNAcentral
UUGUAGAUGGACACAAUACCUUUAUUUUGUUUAUUUUUAUGUGGUGCUGGGAUAGAACCCAGUGCCUCAUGCUUGCUCAGCAAGCACUCUACCACUGAGCCACAACCCUGGCCCCAUCAUAUACAAUUUUAGAAAAAGGAAAAAAGAAGGGGAAGGAAGAGGUUGAACUAAAGCACUCCCUCAACAAUAAGAGACCCUUGGGGAUGCUUGGCUGAACCCAGCCCAGAACCCAGAUGAAAACAGAGAUGUAAAAUGUCAGCACCAGAUAACUCCCAGAGAUCACCCAUGCAACUCCCUCAUUGCACAGAUGGGGAAACUGAGGCCAAGGACAUCUCACUACUGUCAAUCCUUUCUUCCUGGAAGUUCUGCCCACACAGGUUUGGGGUUGAGGAAGUUGUAACAUUUCCUCUUCUAGGUUCCCACAGUCAAGGCAGGGAGAUAGGGGAUUCCCUUCUGAAGUCCAGGAGGUUUGGGUCCUAGCUCCACUUCACCACCUGCCUGGGGAACACCAAAAGAAGUGGGGAACUAUGUAUGGCUAGCUGAGUAGGUGGAUUCGUCAUAACAACAAUUAGGGAGGUGGAAGGCUUUCAGCGGGCUAAUUAUGUGGGCUAGGUCUCAGCCUAGUAAACUUCCUUAGGUGUUUGGCAUCUUUAUGUGAGAACUCCAAAGAUAAGAGAAACUAGGUACAAAGAAGUGCCAUCCUGGCAACCCUGAGGAUGGGAUGUGCAAGGAGAGCCCGUAAAGGACAGGGGAAGAGAGCCACUGAAGACAAGUGGUAGAUUCCAAAGCUGCUGGGACCACCU